This 604-nucleotide ribosomal RNA is filed under the name Pseudomonas sp. Its description in RNAcentral is "bacterial SSU rRNA". It matches the Rfam family "Bacterial small subunit ribosomal RNA", at positions 54 to 653 of the family's 1533-position model. Lineage: Bacteria; Pseudomonadati; Pseudomonadota; Gammaproteobacteria; Pseudomonadales; Pseudomonadaceae. The record is from RNAcentral.
CAUGCAAGUCGAGCGGUAGAGAGGUGCUUGCACCUCUUGAGAGCGGCGGACGGGUGAGUAAUACCUAGGAAUCUGCCUGGUAGUGGGGGAUAACGUUCGGAAACGGACGCUAAUACCGCAUACGUCCUACGGGAGAAAGCAGGGGACCUUCGGGCCUUGCGCUAUCAGAUGAGCCUAGGUCGGAUUAGCUAGUUGGUGAGGUAAUGGCUCACCAAGGCUACGAUCCGUAACUGGUCUGAGAGGAUGAUCAGUCACACUGGAACUGAGACACGGUCCAGACUCCUACGGGAGGCAGCAGUGGGGAAUAUUGGACAAUGGGCGAAAGCCUGAUCCAGCCAUGCCGCGUGUGUGAAGAAGGUCUUCGGAUUGUAAAGCACUUUAAGUUGGGAGGAAGGGCAUUAACCUAAUACGUUAGUGUUUUGACGUUACCGACAGAAUAAGCACCGGCUAACUCUGUGCCAGCAGCCGCGGUAAUACAGAGGGUGCAAGCGUUAAUCGGAAUUACUGGGCGUAAAGCGCGCGUAGGUGGUUUGUUAAGUUGAAUGUGAAAUCCCCGGGCUCAACCUGGGAACUGCAUCCAAAACUGGCAAGCUAGAGUAUGGUA